CUCCGCGCCCGCUCUGGUCCGCGCCGGGUCGGGAGCGGGGCCCGGUGGAGCGGCGGCCGCAGGGGAGAGGCUGGGGUUGUCAGGGGAAGGCCUGGAGUCCUCCAGGGACGGUUCGGUGUUCGCAGUGGACGGGCUGGGGUCCGCAGGAGACAAGAGGCAAUAACAGCUCAAGUCUCUGCAGGACACAGUUUUGUAAUGGUCUUUAUGCAUGUGCAUUUACUUCCUCUAUAAAAACCUUGUCUACUAAAAAAAUACCUGUGUGACCCUGAGAAAGAAUUUUCCUCCAGCAAGAUUUGUCCUGCAUCUUCCAGGUAUAUAAUUAAUUUGUAAUACCAGGAGCAGAGCUUUGUGAAUGGUACUGUUAGUACUCAGGUCAGCAGUAUUUAUUGCCUCAG
This 395-nucleotide long non-coding RNA is filed under the name Cyanistes caeruleus (blue tit). RNAcentral describes it as "lncRNA (ENSCCEG00000017285.1)". The record is from RNAcentral. Lineage: Eukaryota; Metazoa; Chordata; Aves; Passeriformes; Paridae.